This 29-nucleotide non-coding RNA is filed under the name Bombyx mori (domestic silkworm). The record is from RNAcentral. Lineage: Eukaryota; Metazoa; Arthropoda; Insecta; Lepidoptera; Bombycidae.
UCACCCGCGGUCGUCGAAUUCGGUUAUGU